Molecule: long non-coding RNA, 4754 nt
Filed under: Heterocephalus glaber (naked mole-rat)
Lineage: Eukaryota; Metazoa; Chordata; Mammalia; Rodentia; Bathyergidae
Description: lncRNA (ENSHGLG00000032770.1)
Source: RNAcentral
AAAUAAUACACUGUAUAUAUAUCCAACUGUCAGUUCUGUUCCCAGCAACAAGGCGAACGGAUGUUCAGAGGAACCUCUCCCAUACAGCCCAACUAAAAAUACUGAAUAAAGACAUUCAAACCUUUUACAUGUGUGACUGAGCUGGCAGGAAACGAGAUUCUUCCACUACCAGAGCCUCGGUAAACACCAACCUCCAGGAGAGAACGAGCAGGGAGCUACUUUCCCUGGGGACGCAUGCACAUCCCUAGUGGCCCAGAGCCUGAGUCUAAAGGCUCCCUCUUUGGGAUAAAGACAAAUGGUGACGCCUGCCUGGGGGCUGCAACCCCUCCUGCAUGAAGCUGGGACCCUGAACUACGCCCUCUGGGUGGGUCAGAGAAAAUCCACUCUCUGAGGCGGAGCGGACUCUACCUACCAGCCUCAGCUGGUGGAGAACUGUGGCGCUGGUGGCAGGGAACAAAAUGAACAGUUCCCUCUGAGAAGUCCUGACCACAAGCCGGUCCUCUUGUGGGCUUAGAACGAGGAGGAUUCACACUACAAACGUAAACAUUUCAUUUAAAGUGGUCUGGAUAAGGAGCCUGUUGUAUGCUUGGCAGAAGAAAAUUGUCUCAGCAGGAACGCUGAGCCUCAGUUAAAAAUAACUCCCUUGGGACGCCAUAGCAACAUUGUGAGUCGCUGGGAACUCGCCUAAUCAGACCUCUGCAAACAGGCAGGUCUGCGGACGCCAUAGCAACGGCCUGAGUCGCGCAGAACGCGCCGAAUCAGAACGCGCCGAAUCAGCCCACGCCCCAGCAGCAAUCCACGGGACCCCCCCCCCCCACACACACCCUCCACUGUACAGCCAUCUGGUUCCACACUACAAAGACGCAGAGGACACCGGACCACCAGACCACUGUACUGGAUCUCUCCAGAACCCAUCUGUUUCUUUCCAUCUUCACUACCCAAGGCCUAGCUACUUCUACAAGAUGACAGCAGCCCCCAGCAGCCUGUCCUGCCUCGUUCUCACUGUCCAUGUUGGGCCAGGCAGAUAUUCUCCGCAUCAGUGGCUCCUCGGUGCCACUAGGACAAACCCAAAGUCGUCCGGUGUACAACAGUCUUCAGCAUCUGGCCUCUGUUUACCGCCACAUCUAAGCCUGCGUCAUCCCCUCUCAACUUCUAGGUCUUAAAUGUGCUCUAACUGCACCCUGAAUGCUUGUGGGUAUCUUCCCUUUCCUUCUGCACAGCAUCUGCCCCCCACCAUGGUGGGGCUUGAGCCCAGGGGCACUCUGCACUGAAUUCUAUUUUCAUUUUGAGAUAGGGUCUUGCUAAUUGCCCAGGCCAGGCUUGAACUUGUGAUGUUCCUGCCUCAGCCUGCUGAGGAGCUGGAAUUACAAUCAUGUACCACUGCUUCCAGGUUAAUGUUCCUUUUAUCUCAGGCCUCAAUGCUCACUCCAAGUGGGACACCCUGUCCUUAAAGCACCCAGGAUAUGGCAGGGAAUCCAACACUAAACAUCUGAGCAGGUAGACAAUGCAGGCCCCACACCCCCUGGGAGCCUAGGGUGCAGAGAUACAGUACCUUCCCCCAUGGGUCCUUGUUUGUCUUCUCUUUAAAAGGAUUUUGCCCCCUUUUUAAUUAGGGGACAUACAAAGUGAGGGACAAGAUAAUCUUUGUUUUGGGGGGUUGUUGUUUUUCUUUUUGGAGACAGGGCCUUGCUAUAUAGUCCAGGCUGGACUUGAACUCACUGCAUAGCCCAGGGAGUCUUUGAACUCAAAGCAAUUUUCCUGCCUCAGCCUCCCAAGUGCUGGUACUACUGGAAUGCACCAUCAGGCCAAGCACAAGAUAGUUUGUAAGUAGAAAUAUACAAACACAUAGUCUUUGUGAUGUACCGUAUUAGAUCUAUGAGAAGUCCCUUUAAUUCUAGCCCUUUUCUUAGCAAGGUCUUUAAAGAUCAGGAACAGUACAGAGAGAGAGGAAAUCUAGGGGAAAAGUGGUUAAAUUUAAAUGACAAGAAUAUUUACCAUUAGCCACAGCUCCCCAGCGGUGGGAUGAACUGGCCCAGAGGUCUGGAAGGAUCUCUGAGGUAGAAAAUAGUAGUCCCAACCUUUUUCAUUAUUUAAAAAAAAUUGUGGCUCUCUAAAUAUCUAUCAUUGAAUACAUGGAUGACAAAAAGGUGGUGUGAGGCAACACUUUUAAAUACUUUAAAAUUUUACUGAAUUCCAGUGCUAUCUCUCUCCAUUUGGUACAGAAAAUAUGUUUAUUCCUUCCAAAGACAAUAUUUGAUGCAUCUGUGGACUUAAGGGUCUUUUGCAGAAGAUUCUGGCCCACAGAUCAGGAGAUGUCGCUGUGUGAUAAAUCGUCCAUGAAGUAAGCAGAGGUUGGUUUACUUUGUAAGUAAACCAGUUUGAUGAACUUCCCAGUACCAAACCCAGCACUCCAAAGGUAGGGAUUAUUAAAGUACUCUCUCCCUCUGACCCGGUCUUUAUCUGAAAAUGAAGUUCAAGCCCAACAGUAGAGGUUCCAGCUCUCAUGGGGUGGGGCAUUUUGCUAGUCCGAAGUGUAACAGCUGUUCCCAAGUCUUUCCUCAGGUGGGAAUGGCCUGGAAAACGGCUUUGGUAAUUAACGGUGAGGACUCGGUGCUGACAGCCUUUGUCUCUGAAUGCAUGUGUGAUGAGAAACGGCUGUUUGGAAUCAUUUGAUUGUGAAUGGAACGUCCCAGUCUUGCCUGUGAUGACAAAGCCCCAGGGGUCAUUUCACCGACACACAGGUCCUGCCAGUGAAUCAGUUUAAACUCAGAAAGGAUAAAAGUAAAGAUCUUUAUUUGUGGUCUUAGGAACUGCUACGCAGGAGACCCAAGUACAGUUUGUUUGAAACAGUGUUCUGAAGAAGGCAGGGAAGAUGGGCAAGCUGUUGUUACAAGUCAGUAAAAAUUCUUCGGUGGGGAAACUUCUCUUAGAGUUGAGACUAGAGGCUGUGCAACAGGGGGCACGUGACUGAUAGAAGACCAAAAAAUGCACAUACUUCAUAAAAAUGUCCAUAAUACAAGAAUCCAUAACCCUUUGAGAUUCGUCUUGAGUCUCUGAGCACACUGUGAUUUGUUCCAGAUACUGGCAAUCAAAGGGGGAGGUGGCUGAAGUCCACCUUCUCCAGCAGCAGCUUGUGUCAUGCAGAAGUCCUGCUUCCUUGGGCCAGGGAUUUAGCUCAGUGGUUCCACCCACCUGCCUCGCAAGCUGAGGACCUGGGUUCGAUCCCUGGUACCAAAAAAAAAAAAAAAAAAAAAGAAGUCCUGCUUCCCUAAUGGCCUCCAUUUAGAAAACCUCUCUCAAUCUUGCUUUUGUUGUAACUUUCCUUUUAUUUUCACAGGCAUCAUUCCUCUCUCAGGUCUAACACUCUACAUUCCUCUUAACCAUUAGAUUCCUGCAGAAUAAGGUCCCUGACUCCACUUCCCAACCCUCCUGGUAAUCAGGAGGUGAUGUUCCUAAUGGAACAUAAAACAAUGUUUCUAACAGGACUCAAGCCUUCCAAGACCAUGAACUGCUCGUGAGUGACCAAUGACAUCACCAGUUCCAGGAACAUUCUCCUAUCUCUUGACCAAAGAUUACCGAAGAGACCCAAUUGCUAAACUGCUUCUGCUUCAGCACCCACUUCAAGAUGACCCCCUUCCUCUGGUCUCUCAGACUCUCAAAGAAGCACACACCCUAAGCAAAUCCCCUUCUGCCUCUACUGAGAUGCACCUCUGUCCUCCUGGGGUGCCACCUGUCUUGUAACUGGCCACAGCUACACUCCUGGUGAUCCUUUUCUAGUGGGUUUUAUCAGAAUGACUGAAGUGUUUCUUCACCUAUGAGGCCAAUUUGUAGACAGAUGAUAUACAGUCAUGUCAUGCAACACAUAAUGAUGCCUUUGUCAGUGACAGAUCACAUAUACAAUGGUGGUAUAGUAAGGUCACACCAAUAUUGCCUAGAAAUAUUAGUGUCUUAAUUUGUUUGACAUUUCCAACAACAAAACUACCUAACAAUACAUUUUUCAGAACAAAUUCCCAUCAAGUGCGUCAUGACUGUACUGCUUUCCAUAUGCUCACUACCUACAAGUAGUGACCUUUUUUUUUUUUUUUUUUGGUACCGGGGAUUGAACCCAGGUCCUCAGCUUUCGAGGCAGGCGGAACCACUGAGCUAAAUCCCCGGUGGCCCUGUAGUGACCAUUCCUGAUGGGAUACUCAGAGACAGGAGGGAACUUGCAAAGGGUGGCAAAAACUAGGAGAAACACCAAAUUCAUGCCCAGAAGGAAAUGGAAUUGAAGAGGAUGGGAUUGGAACUGAAGAACAUAGGAGACUUAACUUUAUAAUACUUUUUUAAUUUUCAAAAAUAACUUGAAACACUUGUAAAUAUUUGGGGUGGCAAAUAUAGGCACUUAUAUUAGUUUCUGUAUUUUAUAAAAUUUUUCCCCAAAAUGAGUGCUUGUAGGUUUUUUGUUUUUGUCUUUGUGGUACUGGGGUUUGAACCCAGGGCUUUCACACUGAGCUACAUGUUAUAGCUGUCCCAGCGAAAAAGACGACGCCACAAAAAUGUCCAAAUUAAAGGAGUCCUUUUAAUUAGCCAGCGACCAAGGAUGAGCUCUUGCUCCCAUCUUCCUUGUUACCAAUCAAGCAGGGAAACCCAGUUUUGUUUUGUUUUUUUGGUACUGGGGAUCAAACUCGGGACCUUGCGCUUGCAAGGCAGUCGCCGGAACCACUGAGCUAAAUCCCUGGCCCUAGGGAAACCCAGUUUUUAAAGGGAAAAAACCC